This 981-nucleotide long non-coding RNA is filed under the name Gallus gallus (chicken). RNAcentral describes it as "lncRNA (ENSGALG00010028625.1)". Lineage: Eukaryota; Metazoa; Chordata; Aves; Galliformes; Phasianidae. The record is from RNAcentral.
GUUGAGUUAGCAGCAGGGAGGAGGUGGGCAAGGAUGGGCUGUGGGCACAGCGGGUGCUGACGGCGGAUUGGUGUACAUUUCGCCCCCCAGCUGUGCUGCGUCACCGCCCACAUCUCCUGCUGGGGGCUGCGCGCUGUGACAGCGCAGGGAGCUCCAUGGGCGGAGCGCUGCACGCAGAGCCCCAGCUCAGGUGUGAGGGGUCAGCGCUCACUGAGCCCCGUGAGGGGCUGCGAUGCGGCCCCAGCCUAUUUGUAGACAUUGCAAAUAAAGCUGACAGCACUGACAGAGAACAACCUGAGGACACCGCCUGCAGGGAGACCCCACCGCAGCUGCAGGCUCUGAAGUUGUUCAAUAAAUUCCUGGAGGCGGCUCGAGGAAGAAGAACAAGAUUUGCGUAUGAGGACAGGAGGACUUUUCUAAGUGACUGCGACUACAUGAGGAGGACGAUGCCCCAUUUCCUGCCAUCUCUGCCCUGUGUUGGCUCCUCCCGUCCGGCCAAAUUGCAGCCAUCCCUCACUCCCCGGGCCCUGGGACAGGGAGAUGGAGGGCAGAGUCACGCGUUGUUAACCCCCACUUUCCUGCGCUGCCGGUGAUUCAUGAGACACGAAGGUUGGAGGAGAGCGCUCAGAUCAGCACCGCCAGCCCAUCCCCGGCCGUGCACACUGCCCACGUCCCGCAGCGUCACUCGGAAGGUUUCCUUUUUGUUCCAUGGAUCCGUUCAGUUCCCUGCUUUGUUUUUAAAGAGAAAAAAAAAAGAGAAAAUCCUGUCAUUAAUAAAUAAAUAAAUAACAAGAAUAAAAAGCCUCCUGGAAACUCUGCAGCAUUCUGCAAAAAUGACUGUGAAAUUUAUGGAACGACAGCUAAAUUGAAUGAGAUUAGGAAGAAAAUGGCCUGUCUAUUUAUGUGAAGAGUUUUCAGAGUUAUCAUAAUUAAUUACAACAAACAUUUCGUAAUGCACAUUAAAUGGAGGCUGGAGGCUCG